GUGAACCGUAAUACCGGGUCACUGGACUAUACCUACUCUUUAAUAUUUAGCAUUCAAACGCAUACAUGAUGGACGCGAGUAUUGUCCUGUUCAUAAUGUAAAUCCAGUUUUUAAAACUGGAGGGAAAAAUUUACAAACAAAAAAAUCCUUAAGCCUAAUUGCUGCUCAAAAAAAUGCCGUGCUCUUUGACUAGGUAGGUAUCUAAUCUAAGUGGACGUUAGAUAAAUCGAUUAGUCUCUUAUUGUUUAUGUGCAAAAUUCCAUUCUAUAAGUAUUUUCGCUAAGUAAUUUCAUUGCAAUUUCCAUAGUGUUAAAAUAUCUACGCUUUAUUUAUG
Molecule: long non-coding RNA, 334 nt
Organism: Maniola jurtina (meadow brown)
Lineage: Eukaryota; Metazoa; Arthropoda; Insecta; Lepidoptera; Nymphalidae
Exons: 3
Source: RefSeq, a predicted model, not a curated record